AGUGGCGGACGGGUGAGUAACACGUAAGAAUUUGCCUUUAGGAGGGGGAUAACAACUGGAAACGGUUGCUAAUACCCCAUACGCUUUCGAGUGAAAUGGAUUUCCGCCUAAAGAGAAGCUUGCGGCUGAUUAGCUUGUUGGUAGGGUAAUGGCCUACCGAGGCGACGAUCAGUAUCUGGUUUGAGAGGACGAUCAGACACACUGGAACUGAGACACGGUCCAGACUCCUGCGGGAGGCAGCAGUAGGGAAUUUUCCGCAAUGGGCGAAAGCCUGACGGAGCAAUACCGCGUGAGGGAUGACUGCCUAUGGGUUGUAAACCUCUUUUUUCAGGGAGGAACAAAAUGACGUGUACCUGAAGAAUAAGCAUCGGCUAACUCCGUGCCAGCAGCCGCGGUAAGACGGAGGAUGCAAGUGUUAUCCGGAAUUACUGGGCGUAAAGCGUCUGUAGGUGGCUCGAUAAGUCAACUGUUAAAUCUUGAAGCUCAACUUCAAAAUCGCAGUCGAAACUAUCGGACUAGAGUAUAGUAGAGGUAAAGGGAAUUUCCAGUGGAGCGGUGAAAUGCGUAGAUAUUGGAAAGAACACCGAUGGCGAAAGCACUUUACUGGGCUAUUACUGACACUCAGAGACGAAAGCUAGGGUAGCAAAUGGGAUUAGAUACCCCAGUAGUCCUAGCCGUAAACAAUGGAUACUAGGUGUU
Molecule: ribosomal RNA, 699 nt
Filed under: uncultured diatom
Lineage: Eukaryota; Bacillariophyta
Description: bacterial SSU rRNA
Rfam family: Bacterial small subunit ribosomal RNA
Source: RNAcentral